AGGUAUUUAAAGAUCGUCCACAUACAUAUAUACAACCUGUUAGGGUCCUUGUGUGUGCGUGGUGUGUGCUUCUCUAGUAUGGUCAUGUAUUAGUUGACAAAUGAAUAUCCAACAGACAGUGUUCCAGCCUUGUAGGCCUCACCACAAGUCCCUUGGGCCCAUUUAAAUUAUCCGCUUCCUUUCACAGAAUAUACAUUUGUAAGUGGUACUACAACAUAAAGAGAACUAUCCUUGGGCCCAUGCAAAUAUAAGUGCAUACGGAAUCUAUCUGCAGUAGAACAGAAUUCAGUUGUUAUCACCUCAGCCCACCUGGGAUGCAACUGCAAUCAGAAAUAACAAUUCCUUGAGGUGCUUUUCAAGUUGUAGAAUCUGCAUCAGCUAAUCAUGUGAGUCUACUAUAAAAUAAGGAAAAUUCAGCAACAUGGUUAACGAAGCCUAGUUAGAGACUUGAUAACGGAAGAAGCACUUCGAACAAAGUUCAGAGAACCAAAGUAUGUUCAGGAAUUUGUCACUAAUAUAAAGUAACAAUGCAAUGCCAUUUCACAUUCAUAAAUAAAGCAGGCUGGGUCUAGAAUGUGAAGUUCAGGGGGGUGGGUCUAAAUUGUUUAAGACUGCCUACUGUCCAGCUAAAAAUGAAAUAUAAAAUAUGGUGUUUAGCAGGUAUGUUGAUAAAAGAAGACCAAUAAAACAUUAGGCAGGUCUUCUUUUAUCCACGUAAAACUGUUGAGUUCCUUUCUGAAGCAUUAAAAGACCUCAUAUGCGAGUUCCACCAUAAAACAGUGAAAUAUAUCACUUAUUAUAGUGAUUACCUCUUUUCUUCAGUAGUUCUGCGCACCUCUCCCAGGUUGAAUCUCCCACUAAAAUCAUUUUUUACCUUAGCCUUUGUACCUUCCUGGAAAACAGAAAAAGAACAUGAUUACUCAAAAAUAAGUUUACUGCAUUUAAAUAAAAUACUUUCUUGUGAUUCUUUUUCGUGCAUUUGACUAAUCUUCGCUGCCAUCAGGAUGCUAGAGCACCUUCACUUCCCAAACAUAAUAAAGGCUGGCACUGCAAAAAAUCAGGGUGUCUCAAGAAGUACUGUGAAUGCUUUCAAGCAAAUAUUCUUUGCUCCAAGAAUUGUAAAUGUAUGGAUUGCAAGAACUUCAAAGGAAGUGAGGAACUAUAGGCUAUAACUCAAGGGGAUAAUGCAUCUGAUAGAAAUAACGUUCAGCAAACAGCUAAUGUCACUCUGAAUGGUGCCACUGGAUCCUCUGGAUAUAAAUAUUCACCUGUACGUAGAGAAAGACACCCAGAAGACCCCCUUGGUCCUGAGGUAAUUUCAAGUUAGCUAGUUCUGCAACUUCAAGCAAUCUGCCAUUUUAAGUCAGAUCUCGUGUAACACAUCUAUUUUGUUGCUAGUUUCCUUUUAUUUCUGCUUCAGCUAUAAAUCCAGUUGGGUGUACAUCCACUUGAUCACUGUUACUAAUUUUUUUAUCUAACUUCAGCUGUAAAUUUUGAUGAGCUGGUAAUUGUUUCAUGUGCUCUAGGCUAACCACUUGGAUGCUUCACAAGCUGCUUCUUCUAGUGGACUUGAAGGCCGUAUUGGUUGUCAGAGUAGAUCUAAAAUGGUCUAUAGGUAAGUAAAAAAUGGUCUGGUUAAUUUGAAUACUAGAUAGCCACCUCGCAGAAAUAAAUAAAUGAAUAAAACCUUAGAACAAAACUGAUCUAUUCUAAUAUAUGAGGAGCAUGAUACAAGCGCAUGUGUAGAUUAAGAAAAACAUCAAUGACACAAACUACUGUGAGCGAAUGUGCCGAGAGAUUGCUGGCUAUUAGAUCAUAAUCUAUUUACAACAUGUAAACUUAGCAUAUUCACCUCAAAAAAUUCAGGCUAAUAAACUUACCAAGCUAGGAAAGCAAUAGGCAUACCGGGCAGAUAAUCUAUGGAAUACCGAGGCAAGCAAUAGGAUGAACAUGUCUUUGGUGAGGUCUGAAUCUAUACCUAUUUACAGUGUUACUGCAUCAAGUCUGUAAAUCUCGCAAACUUGGCUGCACAAAUAUUAUAAGUGCCAUUAUUUUUUCCUCAGCCAACGUAUGGCAGCAGAUUCACAACUCGAGCGUGCCACUCUUCAAAAUAAGAAUCGCAUCCUACCAUACCUCAGAGCCUGUGGUAAGCAACACCAGCUGGGACGGCGCCAUCGGCUGCUGGUAUCUGUCUUCUUCAGCUGCAAGUAACGGUGAAGCUGACGACGAGCCAGUGUGUGAGGCCACGCCCUGUUCCUUCCCUCUCUGGUCUCGCUUGCCCAUUUCCUUGCCCCUGCUUGGCUUGCUGUCAGAGGUUUAUUCAAAAAAAAAGGAACCACACACACUUGCAUAGAUGAGCAGAAAAAGAGAGGGAUAAAGACCAGGAGCAAAGGGGGGUCAGGACGCAGAGAAGCUCACCUUGGCAUCACCGACAGCGCUGCCACUUCGACCCGGCCGAGG
This 2460-nucleotide long non-coding RNA is filed under the name Triticum aestivum (bread wheat). RNAcentral describes it as "long non-coding RNA (TAES_LNC013973)". Lineage: Eukaryota; Viridiplantae; Streptophyta; Magnoliopsida; Poales; Poaceae. The record is from RNAcentral.